GAUCGAUCAAGUGGACCCUGUAAGCAGAGAUAUUUAACUGGUCAAGAAUGGCGGGCAGCCCAUACAUAUAUUUUACUGAAUUGUCCAGAAGUAUCAUCAUUUUAUGAGAUUUUUGAAAACUUAUAUUCUGAUUUGUCGACACAACAGUUUGAUCGCUUAUGUCAAGAAGAAUUUGCACCAUGGUUCAAAUCAUAUGUUCUUGAUAAUCAAACUAACCUUCAGCAAGAAUUUCUAAUCCAUCUGGCAUGGGGUCCAAAAGCAAUGG
Zingiber officinale is the source of this 265-nucleotide long non-coding RNA. RefSeq lists it as uncharacterized. The transcript has 3 exons. The record is from RefSeq and is a predicted model, not a curated record. Lineage: Eukaryota; Viridiplantae; Streptophyta; Magnoliopsida; Zingiberales; Zingiberaceae.